Rhinolophus ferrumequinum (greater horseshoe bat) is the source of this 109-nucleotide small nuclear RNA. The record is from Ensembl. Lineage: Eukaryota; Metazoa; Chordata; Mammalia; Chiroptera; Rhinolophidae.
GUGUUCUUGAUUUGACAGCACAUAUACUAAAACUGGAACAGUACAGAGAAAAUUGACAUGACUCCUACACAUGGAUGACACACAAAUUUAUGAAGCAUUCCAUAUAUUU